RNAcentral lists this ribosomal RNA (869 nucleotides) under uncultured euryarchaeote. RNAcentral describes it as "bacterial SSU rRNA". It matches the Rfam family "Archaeal small subunit ribosomal RNA", at positions 1 to 881 of the family's 1478-position model. Lineage: Archaea; Methanobacteriati; Methanobacteriota. The record is from RNAcentral.
UUCCGGUUGAUCCUGCCGGAAGUCACUGCUAUCGGGGUUCGAUUAAGCCAUGCGAGUCGAGAGGGUUCGGCCCUCGGCGUACUGCUCAGUAACACGUGGAUAACCUGCCCUAGGGAAGGGGAUAACCCCGGGAAACUGGGGAUAAUACCCUAUAGGUUACAGAUGCUGGAAUGCUCUGUAACCCAAAGUUCCGGCGCCCUAGGAUGGAUCUGCGGCCGAUUAGGUUGUUGUUGGGGUAAUGGCCCAACAAGCCAGUAAUCGGUACGGGUUGUGGGAGCAAGAGCCCGGAGUUGGAUUCUGAGACACGAAUCCAGGCCCUACGGGGCGCAGCAGGCGCGAAAACUUUACAAUGCGGGCAACCGUGAUAAGGGAACCUCGAGUGCUGUAAAUGCAGGCUGUUUAGGUGUUUAAAACGCACCUGGAGAAAGGGCCGGGCAAGACCGGUGCCAGCCGCCGCGGUAAUACCGGCGGCUCGAGUGGUGGCCACUUUUAUUGGGCUUAAAGCGUUCGUAGCUGGGUUGUUAAGUCUCUUGGGAAAUCUGGCGGCUUAACCGUCAGGCGUCUAAGGGAUACUGGCAAUCUUGGAACCGGGAGAGGUGAGGGGUACUUCGGGGGUAGGAGUGAAAUCCUGUAAUCCUCGAGGGACCACCUGUGGCGAAGGCGCCUCACCAGGACGGCUUCGACAGUGAGGGACGAAAGCUGGGGGAGCAAACCGGAUUAGAUACCCGGGUAGUCCCAGCCGUAAACUAUGCGCGUUAGGUGUAUCGGUGACCACGAGUUACCGAGGUGCCGAAGGGAAACCGUGAAACGUGCCGCCUGGGAAGUACGGUCGCAAGGCUGAAACUUAAGGAAUUGGCGGGGGAGCACCA